CAUUUGUAUUUUAAAUGUCUCAAUCACUUAUCUUCAAAAUUUCGAUUUGCUUUAGGUUAUCAAAAUGAGCCUAAUAAUAAGUUGACUAAGCUAAGUUAGUUAUGCAAGUAUUGGUUGUAAGCUCAUCGAUAUUGUCUUUCACUUCUUUGUGGAAAAGCCUAUCGUUAGGAGAAUUACCUGAUUAAGCUUCUUGAAAACUGCUAGCAGCUGUCUGAACAUUUUCCUGGAACAUCCUACACAUGUUUAACUUCAAUGUUUAUGAAUUUAACUGUUCCCCAGGAGAUUAAAGACUACAUUAAUGCCAUUGGUCAGAUUACCAGACAAACACCCAAACAAACCCUAACCAAAAGCACUUUCGAAGUCGAAGAUCCUACCAGCAAAAUAAAAUUCUCUCAGUGGAUAGACUUUAUGCAAAAAAUUCUUUCAAGCAUAACUUCUAGUUUGGAAAUGCACAAGUUGGAAGGAGAAACCUACACUGUGCGGAAAAAGUUGGAGCUCAUCAGCAGACAUAGUAAAAUAUUGGAAGAACUGUACACCAUCGUAACAGGCGUGACUAGCCAAGCUUGUAAAUGCGACCUAUUUGUCAAGAGAAAGUUUUGCUACUUCAUGUAUCACAGCUUAAAAGCCGUGCAUUGGGAUUUGAAAGCUUGUAUUGCCGGCCUACGAUUGGCAGAAAUGUACAUGAUAAAGGAUGAGUGUGAAAUGCUUCAAAACCUAUCAGCAGACCAAAGAGUAAGAGAUAGACAGGUUGAGCAGUUGGAAAAAAUGAAGAAGUGGAUGUUCUCCACGGCAGAAGACGAGGAACAAGAGAAAUUUAUAUCUUCACCACCAAAGAGUUAAAUCAGGAACCCAUCUGUUUCAGUGCAGUUCCACGGAGCAGAAUCAAGGACACCCUCGCCAGGAAAAAUUAAGAAGGUUCGGUCAAUGAGCCAUGGCACACGGCACGAGCCUUAUGGAUAUAUCUCCUUUAUCGCAACAGUUAUACCGUUCAAACUAAAGGACAACAAUUUGGAGCUACAAUUUAAGAACAAAACAAGGUGAAGGAACUAUGAAAAUACAGACCAGCCUGUCUCUUAUUCUCCAAGAACACGCAAGAAGCCUUCCUAUCGCCCAAGACGAUCCAUAGGCCCUGUUUGCCCAAAAUUGGAGUUGAAAAGUCGUCGAGACCGCAUUAUUAAUAUUCUAUCCAGAGGGAGGAACUUCUAAAGUAUUAGAAAUCAGUGGACUUGUCUCUUCCAACGAGGAGUCUGGAAAAAGAGAAAAAUAGUCUGGAAAAUAGUCCGGAGUUUUAUCAACUUCAUACAAAAACUCAUUUACGAGAUGAAAUAUCUUUGGUAUGGCAAGCCAUUUGUAGCAAUAUUCAAAAAUUAUUUCAUUCAACCAUUCAACUGAAAUUCAACCGUUCAAUUCAAACCCAAUUCAACCAUUCAACACCCCCAUUCAACCAUUCAAGAAUCUAUUCAACUAUUCAACCCCAAUUCAACUAUUCAACCCCAAUUCAAGUAUCCAACCCCAAUUGAACUAUCCAACUCCAAUUGAACUAUCCAACCCCAAUUCAACUAUUCAACCCUAAUUCAACUAUUCAAUCCCGCAUUCAACCAUUCAAUCCCGCAUUCAGACCCGAUGGUUGCAGGACUGAGUAACCUGUCACAAUUACACGAAAGACGUCCUAAGACGUCUUUUGUUUACUUGGAAAUAUUGUACACAGUAAGUAUUCCUUCGAUUGACAUUUAUAACAAUGUAACGUAUUUCUUCAGACAGGUUCAAUAAAAGAAUGAAAUCAAAAUUGAAUUAAAAAGAGAAAAAUCGAGUUUCCAGAUGGGAUUU
Molecule: long non-coding RNA, 1827 nt
Organism: Stylophora pistillata
Lineage: Eukaryota; Metazoa; Cnidaria; Anthozoa; Scleractinia; Pocilloporidae
Source: RefSeq, a predicted model, not a curated record